Molecule: ribosomal RNA, 313 nt
Filed under: uncultured marine eukaryote
Lineage: Eukaryota
Description: SSU rRNA
Rfam family: Eukaryotic small subunit ribosomal RNA
Source: RNAcentral
CCAAAGCGAGAGGUGAAAUUCUUAGACCUUCGGAAGACGAACAGCUGCGAAAGCGUUCCGCAAGGAUGUUCCCUUUGAUCAAGAACGAAAGUUGGGGGAUCGAAGACGAUCAGAUACCGUCGUAGUCUCAACUAUAAACUAUACCAGCUAGGGAUCGGCCAACGUUACUUUAACCGACUUGGUCGGCACCUUAUGAGAAAUCAAAGCAUCUGGGUUCCGGGGGGAGUAUGGUCGCAAGGCUGAAACUUAAAGGAAUUGACGGAAGGGCACCACCAGCCGUGGAGCCUGUGGCUUAAUUUGACUCAACACGGGA